This is a small nuclear RNA of Suricata suricatta (meerkat), 107 nucleotides long. NCBI's taxonomy places the organism in Eukaryota, Metazoa, Chordata, Mammalia, Carnivora, Herpestidae. The record is from Ensembl.
GUGCUCCCUUUGGCAGCACAUAUACUAAAAUUGGAAUGAUACAGAGAAGACUAGCAUGCCCCCCUGCACAAGGAUUAUGAAGAAAUACAGAAUUGCUUUAUUCUUUU